GUGGGGAAUAUUGCACAAUGGGCGCAAGCCUGAUGCAGCAACGCCGCGUGAGGGAUGACGGCCUUCGGGUUGUAAACCUCUUUUAGUAGGGAAGAAGCGAAAGUGACGGUACCUGCAGAAAAAGCACCGGCUAACUACGUGCCAGCAGCCGCGGUAAUACGUAGGGUGCAAGCGUUGUCCGGAAUUAUUGGGCGUAAAGAGCUCGUAGGCGGCUUGUCGCGUCUGCUGUGAAAUCCCGGGGCUCAACCCCGGGCCUGCAGUGGGUACGGGCAAGCUAGAGUGCGGUAGGGGAGAUCGGAAUUCCUGGUG
This 309-nucleotide ribosomal RNA is filed under the name Leucobacter aridicollis. RNAcentral's name for it is "bacterial SSU rRNA". It matches the Rfam family "Bacterial small subunit ribosomal RNA", at positions 354 to 675 of the family's 1533-position model. The record is from RNAcentral. Lineage: Bacteria; Bacillati; Actinomycetota; Actinomycetes; Micrococcales; Microbacteriaceae.